GGUUGAUCCUGCCAGUAGUCAUAUGCUUGUCUCAAAGAUUAAGCCAUGCAUGUCUAAGUAUAAACUGCUUUAUACUGUGAAACUGCGAAUGGCUCAUUAAAUCAGUUAUAGUUUAUUUGAUGGUACCUUACUACUCGGAUAACCGUAGUAAUUCUAGAGCUAAUACGUGCGCAAAUCCCGACUUCCGGAAGGGACGUAUUUAUUAGAUAAAAGGCCGACCGGGCUUGCCCGACUCGCGGUGAAUCAUGAUAACUUCACGAAUCGCAUGGCCUCUGCGCCGGCGAUGUUUCAUU
RNAcentral lists this ribosomal RNA (293 nucleotides) under uncultured eukaryote. RNAcentral's name for it is "partial 18S ribosomal RNA". It matches the Rfam family "Eukaryotic small subunit ribosomal RNA", at positions 6 to 299 of the family's 1831-position model. The record is from RNAcentral.